This 2900-nucleotide ribosomal RNA is filed under the name Clostridioides difficile. RNAcentral's name for it is "bacterial LSU rRNA". It matches the Rfam family "Bacterial large subunit ribosomal RNA". Lineage: Bacteria; Bacillati; Bacillota; Clostridia; Peptostreptococcales; Peptostreptococcaceae. The record is from RNAcentral.
UGGUCAAGUUAUUAAGGGUGCAGGGCGGAUGCCUUGGCACUAGGAGCCGAUGAAGGACGUGAUAAGCUGCGAUAAGCUUCGGGGAGUUGCACGUAAACUUUGAUCCGAAGAUUUCCGAAUGAGGAAACUCACUUAGAGUAAUGUCUAAGUAUCAUUAAGUGAAUACAUAGCUUAAUGAGGGGAACUCAGGGAACUGAAACAUCUAAGUACCUGAAGGAAGAGAAAGAAAUUCGAUUCCGUAAGUAGCGGCGAGCGAACGCGGAUUAGCCCAAACCAAUAAAGUUUUCUUUAUUGGGGUUGCGGACAUAUCAUAACGAAGAGGUAUCGUAAUUGAAGAGGUUUGGAAAGACCCACCACAGAAGGUAAUAGUCCUGUAUGUUAAACGAGAAGACUUUAGAUAUGAUCCAGAGUACCACGGGACACGUGAAACCCUGUGGGAAGCAGGAGGGACCACCCUCCAAGGCUAAAUACUACCUAGUGACCGAUAGCAUAUAGUACCGUGAGGGAAAGGUGAAAAGAACCCCGGGAGGGGAGUGAAAUAGAACCUGAAACCCUGCACUUACAAGCUGUGGAAGCACAUUUCUUGUGUGACCGCGUACUUUUUGUAGAACGGGCCAACGAGUUACGUUAAGUAGCAAGGUUAAGCACUUAAGGUGCGGAGCCGUAGCGAAAGCGAGUUUUAACUGAGCGUUCAGUUACUUGACGUAGACCCGAAACCGGGCGACCUACCCAUGAGCAGGAUGAAGCGAAAGUAAAAUUUCGUGGAGGUCCGAACCCACGAGCGUUGAAAAGCUCGGGGAUGACUUGUGGGUAGCGGUGAAAUUCCAAUCGAGCCCGGAGAUAGCUGGUUCUCCCCGAAAUAGCUUUAGGGCUAGCCUCAAGGUGAGAGAUACGGAGGUAGAGCACUGAAUGUCCUAGGGGGUAUUGCACCUACCGAAGACUAUCAAACUCCGAAUGCCGUCAUCUUAUACUUGGGAGUCAGACUGUGGGUGAUAAGAUUCAUAGUCGAAAGGGCAACAGCCCAGAUCGUCAGCUAAGGUCCCUAAAUGUAAGUUAAGUGGUAAAGGAUGUGGGAUUGCACAGACAACCAGGAUGUUGGCUUAGAAGCAGCCACUCAUUCAAAGAGUGCGUAAUAGCUCACUGGUCGAGUGAUCCUGCGCCGAAGAUUUCCGGGGCUAAAACUUACUACCGAAGCUACGGCAUCAGUAAUGAUGGGUAGGGGAGCUUCCCAUACGGGUUGAAGCAUGACCGUAAGGACAUGUGGACAGUAUGGGAGUGAGAAUGUUGGCAUGAGUAGCGAGAUGUGGGUGAGAAUCCCACAGGCCGUAAACCCAAGGUUUCCAGGGGAAGGUUCGUCCGCCCUGGGUUAGUCGGGACCUAAGCUGAGGCCGAAAGGCGUAGGUGAUGGACAACAGGUUGAUAUUCCUGUACUACCGAUAACCGUUUGAGAGAAGGGAUGACACAGUAGGAUAAGCUAAGCACACUGUUGGUUAUGUGUGCCCAAGCAUUGAGGCAGUCAAAGUAGGCAAAUCCGCUUUGAUAAUGCUGGGAUGUGAUGGGGAGCGAAAUUUAGUAGCGAAGUAGCUGAUUUCACACUGUCAAGAAAAGUCUCUAUCGAGGUUAAAGGUACCCGUACCGCAAACCGACACAGGUGGGUGAGGAGAGUAUCCUAAGGCCAGCGAGAGAACUGUUGUUAAGGAACUCGGCAAAAUGACCCCGUAACUUAGGGAUAAGGGGUGCCACCAUCAGGUGGCCGCAGAGAAUAGGCCCAAGCGACUGUUUACCAAAAACAUAGGUUUCUGCUAAGUCGCAAGACGAUGUAUAGGAGCUGACGCCUGCCCGGUGCUGGAAGGUUAAGGGGAUCUGUUAGAGCAAUCGAAGCAGUGAACUUAAGCCCCAGUAAACGGCGGCCGUAACUAUAACGGUCCUAAGGUAGCGAAAUUCCUUGUCGGGUAAGUUCCGACCCGCACGAAAGGCGUAACGAUUUGGGCACUGUCUCAACAACAGACUCGGUGAAAUUGUAAUUCCGGUGAAGAUGCCGGAUACCUGCGACAGGACGGAAAGACCCCAUGGAGCUUUACUGUAGCUUGACAUUGGGUCUUGGUACUACAUGUACAGGAUAGGUGGGAGGCUUUGAAACCAGGACGCCAGUUUUGGCGGAGCCAUCCUUGGGAUACCACCCUUGUAGUACUGGGACUCUAACCAUAGGCCAUGAAUCUGGUCUUGGGACACUGUCAGGUGGGCAGUUUGACUGGGGCGGUCGCCUCCCAAAAGGUAACGGAGGCGCUCAAAGGUUCUCUCAGUACGGUCGGAAAUCGUACGUAGAGUGUAAAGGCAAAAGAGAGCUUGAUUGCAAGACAUACAGGUCGAGCAAGGAUGAAAAUCGGACUUAGUGAUCCGGUGGUUCUGCGUGGAAGGGCCAUCGCUCAACGGAUAAAAGCUACCCUGGGGAUAACAGGCUUAUCUCCCCCAAGAGUCCACAUCGACGGGGAGGUUUGGCACCUCGAUGUCGGCUCAUCACAUCCUGGGGCUGUAGUAGGUCCCAAGGGUUGGGCUGUUCGCCCAUUAAAGUGGUACGCGAGCUGGGUUCAGAACGUCGUGAGACAGUUCGGUCCCUAUCCGUCGCAGGCGUAGGAAAUUUGAGAAGACCUGUCCUUAGUACGAGAGGACCGGGAUGGACGUACCUCUGGUGUACCAGUUGUUCUGCCAAGGGCAUGGCUGGGUAGCUAUGUACGGAAUGGAUAAGCGCUGAAAGCAUCUAAGCGCGAAGCCAACUUCAAGAUAAGAUUUCCCACCGCAAGGGUAAGACCCCAGAAAGACUAUCUGGUUGAUAGGUCGAAGGUGUAAGUGCAGCAAUGUAUUUAGCUUAUCGAUACUAAUAGGUCGAGGACUUGACCAAU